This 6185-nucleotide long non-coding RNA is filed under the name Panax ginseng (ginseng). RNAcentral's name for it is "long non-coding RNA (PGIN_LNC010859)". Lineage: Eukaryota; Viridiplantae; Streptophyta; Magnoliopsida; Apiales; Araliaceae. The record is from RNAcentral.
AAAAAGUACAAAAAUUUAUCAGCGCCUAAUGGAAAUGUUGUUUGUUCCAAUCAAUCUCAGCAGCAGCUAAAACCAUUCAAGUCAAAUUGAUUGCGUCUUAAUGGAGGAUCAUUAUUUUCAUGGAUAUUAUUCAGCUGAAAUCCUUGUGGUAUUUCCUCAUUCUGGGGUUUUACUGAGUCUCUUCUUUUGGUGUUUCUAAAUUCUUCUCCCGUGUAGAUUCUGUUGCCAUUCAAUUUUUCUCCCUGAACUCCAACACUCAUUGACAAAUCACAGGCAUCAACUUCUUUCUCUCGAAUCUCUUUCAGGUCUUUGCACCAUCUGAGAUCAAAGGUAUCGUUGUCGAUCUUACUAGCUAAAGGUAUCAAACCUCCACAUGAGGUCAAGCACCUGUCUAAUGAAAAAUCCAUGGACUGCAGGUUUGUUUGUUUUUGCUGUGGAUAGAAGCCCCCUGAAACAUCUUUCAUCCCUGGGAAUGCAGAAUCUAGGCAAUUGGUGGAUACCGGUUCAGAUAGCUGGACCUUCGCAGCAGCCUCUAAUCCUAUUGUUCCCAAAUUCUGUCUUCCUAGGGUAUCUUGUGCUUUCUCUAGCACUGCUUGUAGGUAUUUCCCUUGAGCUUCUAUUCGAAGCUGCAAAUGUCGUUGUACCUAUCAAUUCAGAAAACUAAAUGUUUUCACUUGUUUAAAUUGCUAUAUUUGCUUCAUUCGUUCUGCUAGAUUAAAUAUGUCAGGCAUCCACAUAUUCUAAUGUUUAAAAUGAAAUGCACGUAUGAGAUAAUUGUUUGGGGUAUGUAUUUCACCUCCAGCUGCUCAUGUAGCUGUCUUUGCACUUCAAUCUGCAGAUGUAUUGCUUCACUUAUUUGUAAACUUCUGAAUAGAGCAUCUCGUAGUUAGAGCAAAUUUUUUUAAAAAUAAGUUAAUGUGUUGAUUAACAAAAAGAGUGAAAAGGCUUUGGCACGCAUACUUAAUUGUUUGAGGUUCAAUGCUUGAAUUACUUGUGUGAGUUCCAUUUGCCUCGGACAUCCUGUCUUCCACCAUUGCAACCAUUCCUACACUAGCAAAUCAUUGUUAUGUUAUCUUUAAAAUAACUGGUGUAAAAAUUUGAAAUAUAUAUAUGUCCGAUGAAAUUUGAGCAUCUUACCAAUUUUGUUUGCCCCGGUAUUUGCUUGUCCAUGUAGAUUUUUGCUGAGUCUGUACUUCUGCCAGCCAAAAAGCAAAAGUUAGUCUUCCAACUUAUAUUGUAAAACAGAGGUCAGAUAGUAGGUUGCUUCUUCGAUCUAUAUGUUCAGUCGAAGUACAUCUACUUAAAAGCUAAAAGAAAAUUAGGAAGAAAAAAGAAAUGAGAAGAAGAAUGAGUAUCCAUAAAUUAUUAGUAGGUUGCCUCUCACCAUGACAUAUCAAGACUGGUCUUUUGCUGUGCAAAUGAAAGGAUGGGAGAUGCAUGUAUCUAAAGAACAUUGUUGAUUAUUUGUUAUGGUAGAACUGCAAAUCCCUCCCUUCAUUUGCCACAACAAUCGGUAACCUUAGAGAUAUAUUGCACAAGGCCUGAACAUAUGCACGAAAAAAGAAAAGAAAAGAAAGUAGAUGGCCUUAACUCUAAUAUGAAGAGGCUUACUAGUGUAAUUAUGGGUAAACGUUUACCUGAAGAUGACUCUUUAAAUGGUAUAAGGUAAGUCUUUGAAUCCCCAUUAGUUUCAAAACCGAUUUUGGUGUAGCCUCUGCAGUAGAAUAAUAGACACUUCAAUUAGGUAAAUAAUUAGUUAAUUUUUGCAUGGUGGUAUUGAACAUUAACAUAGUUUGACUCACUGUCUGCUCCACCGAGAUGAUUAACUGCUUCAAUGAACCGUUCAUGAAGGUCUGGCGUCCAUUUCAAUCUAGGCUUUGCAUCAGUUGAAAGGAUAAGUCCAGAAUCUCCUGUAGCAUUCCCACCUUGUAGGAAUAGAACUCUUUCUGGAGUCAUUGGCGUUCUUGAGGAAGGUUGGAUAUUAUUUGCUUGAUGAUGAUACAUUUUGUCUUCAAAAUAAUUGCCUUAUGAUUAGCUUCAUGGUUGUAGCACAAUAAUAUGAUCCUACGAAUGAAUAGUUAUGGUUUUACCUGCAAGUUGUCACGUCUCUUGAUUAGUUCUGAUACUUGGUAAAAAAGCUGUCUUCUACAGCUCUCAUCUAUCUCCUCUCUUAUCUGACCAAGUCUCACAAACCAGGGGUGUGCUCAAGCACGCCUUAUAAGGCAAAUGGAAAAAGGACUGUGGGGGAUGGGAGAUGGAGUCUUACUGAGGCAUAGAAUCUUGGGCAGACCCAAUCCAAUCUUCACAGCAAUUCAGAAAGAGAUCUUGUCCUUACAGUUCUGAGAAUCUGUGGGACCUAUCCCAUAACUCCAUUUUCCGUUCUCAACCAGCUCUAUCAAUCUAAAUUAUAUAACUUCCUGCAACACUUAGCAUCCCGCCAGACUUUUCUGUGCAUUCAUAUUCGUCAUAUGGUAAAGUUAGGGAAUCUUAUUCUCGAAUUAAAGAGUAAAAUUUUCUGACCCAUAUUUGGGGAAUCCACUAUCUCAGUUGUCUUAAUAUCUUCAAGCCAUCUUCUCUUCCCAUAUAUGAUCCUUAAAAAACCAAUUACAUUGAUCCUUAAUUGGACUCACAGUUAUUUUUUCUUGUCGAUGUACCUUUCAAAGACUCAUUUGCUUUGCAAAUAUAGAUCAGUUUUUAAGUCAUCUUAAUUACAAGGUGCAGACAUACUGAAAAGACAAGAAAAUUUCAACUGGUUUAACUUGGAGAAUGUAGAAGAAGAUUCUGUAGGCUGGAACAUCUAGAACUUGGAAUUGCGCACAUACAAGAGAGAGAUUAAAAAAAAUGAAAGAUGCCCCUCCUUAGAAUUGUCUGAAGGGCCAAUAAUGGAAUAAGGAAUACAUUCAUUUUUGUCUCCUUCCAUAAGUUUGGUACGUAUUUAGACUAGACAGUAUUUAGAUUGAUUAAAAGAGUGCCCCAAUUAAAUAUUUUCUAUUCUUCAAUUGGUAUAAAGAAGCCAGCCUCAUGCUGAAGCUGAUUGGACCCUUACAGCAAGAAAAAGAUGGAUUGUACUUGCUCCAUACUUGCAUUUCAUGGAAAGUAUGACACUUCGUGGACUGGGGAGGACCACUUGCGUUUCCCUUGACUUGAGUCUCGGUUGGCUUUGCAGAUUCUCUGGUAUGAAUCUACACAUCCUUCUUGUUGUCUUAAUUCUUUUAAUAGUGGAUUAAAGCUAGCUUGUUAAUAGCUAUGCAUGCCUCUGUAUGACAUACAAAUAGUCAAAAUAGAUGAUAUGCUGUACACGAUUAUACAAGUUUGCAUGAACAUGCAUAAUUCUUACUUCACAAUAAUUUGUGUUUAGAGACUGUUUCUACAUGUUAAAGGAUUACUCGUGCAUUCUGAAAAUGCAACUUUGAACAAAUAAGAAAUCUGAUUUCCGAUGCCAUUUUAAGGAGUGUUUUUUUAGCGUCUACAACAAGCAUUUCAAGAUUACAAAAGAAGCUAUACGACAACUUUAAUUUGUUCUUUCAUCACCCUUGUCUUUUUCUUUAUGUGAUUUUAGCUAUAUACAUUUUAGUGUGAACAUUAUGAAUUUAAUUAUGUGCCUUGAAUAAAGUAUCAUCACCUAACUAAUUUCAACUUACAACUAAUGUUUUUAGAUAGAUCAAUUUGUUCUGAUAUAUCAGGAUAUAUAUUUUAUGUAGUUUUGGGAAUAUGUGGGAGGCUUUAGGUAAAGUGUACGUUAAAGAAAUUCCUUAAUAGUUUGCUGGCAUGUGGAUAGGAAUAAAUUCCAGUAAGGGGAAUAAUUUGGAAAUUAGGAUCCUCUCCAUUUCAUGUGUGCUGUAAAAUAGCUCCUGUUAUAGCCUAUAUCCCAUAUUCUUCAAUCUUAUAGCUCCUGUUAAAUUAUGGCAUUAUAGCCAAACCAUAAGUAGAGUUGCAUGUUGCUAUAAUUUUUAGUUCACGUCUUAUCUUUCCAACAACUUAAUGUUGGAAAUAUCCGAUCCAUAUAUGCUCAUCUGAAACUGCAUAUUGACCCAAAAGGUUAACCCUAUGGUCCAUUAGAGCAUAUAUAUCCUCAAUUCAAUCUUUCUCCUUGUAUUUCGAUGCGGGACUUUACUAUGCGUACCUAACACUUAAUGUAAAGUAUUAAGUAGUUAUCUUUUUAAUGCUUCCAUCAAGUCUUGACUGCAAUUCACUUUCUCUUGUAUUUGUGUGUGGGCAUUUAUUCAUUUAUAUGCUAAAAGGGGAGUAUUUAGCUUUAAGCAAAUGUUGUGUGAUUUUCAAUAGAUGGAAACAUAGGUUGUAUUGUACUUAGACUCGUGUUAAUAUUUUGUUUUCUUUUCUGAAAGGAACAACAAAUCGCAUUUUAGUAGUAUCAUUUGGAUUGGCUGGUCGGUCGGUCGGUCGGUCGGUCGAUCAUUAGUGAAAAAUACUUGCCCGUGCCAGUUGCUUAUUGGACCACAUCUGACAAGGAUUUAAAGAAGGAAAUGACCACGGAAUGAUAUUCCCUUCGGAAAGGAAACAAAAGUUGGAAAGAUUCCAAGGAAUGGGAUUUGAGAAUCUUAACUCAAAGUAAAGCCAAUGGGAAUGGGGUGGGGUGGGGUGGGGUGGGGUGGGGUUCUCAAGUCAAGAAUUUUAGUUAUUCUUUUCUACUCAAACUCACAAUACAAAUUGUUUAAUUUCUAGAUUGACAAUAGAUUAGAUUAAGAUGCCUUUCAAUAUUCAGAAUCAAGUAAACAAUCUAUAUCUAUAUACAUAUAGGAAAAAUAAAAUAAAAUUGUACUUGUAUUUGUAUUUGGUAUGAGAUUAAAAUUUAAUUGUUACUAAAAUAUUUUUUUAAACUUCCUGAUUUUAGUUUAUUAACUACUACUAAAACACUUUUUAAACAUAGAAUUUAAUUAGAAUCAAAACACUAUUUAUAAUCCUGAAAAAUUCUAGAACAACUUGUUAUUUUAUAAUAAUUUUAUUUCUUAUAGAAGUCUUUUAUUGAUAUUAAUUUUCACGAGUCUAAAUUAAAAUACAUAUGGAUCGUUAUUAAAUAUAUAAAUAGAUUAAAUAUUUAAAAUUAAUCUAUCAUAUAAUCUCCUCUUAAUUUUAUUUUAUUAACUAUUGCUAAAACACUUUUUAAACCUAAAAUUUAACUAAAAUCAAAAUACUAUUUAUGAUCCUAAAAUUUUUUAGAGUAACUUAUUAUUUUGGAGCAAUUUAAAUUAGAAUAUACUAGCUUAUAAAGAGAUUAACUUAUAAAAGGACAUAAUAAUAGUGUUUUAUGUGUGCUUAGUAUUUUAGUUUUUUUAAAAAUGCAAAGCACAUGUUUACUUUAUAAAUAAUAUUAUUUUUAAUAUUUUAUAUUUUAUAUAUGAUGUUUAUAAAAAAUGAAUUUCACAAAUUAACUUACUAUUUGGUAUUAAAAUGAUUACAAUAUUUGCUUAAAAAAAAUUAAAUAAAUACAAAUCACAUACAUUUGUCUACUAUAAUUAAUAUUAUAUUAUUUUAUGAAUAAUUUUAUUAUUUAUAAAAUUUCUUUAGCUCAUUAAUCAUAUCUUUUUGAUCAAAGUUUGUAAAUAUUGUCAUAGCAAUUGUAAGUUAGUUUGUGAAAAUUCUAAAAAUAUUUCAUAAUCAUUAAAUAUAAAAUGAAUAAAAAAUAAAAAAUUAUGCUUUUUGAAAAAUAAAUUCAUGUUUCGUACUUGGUAUUUUUGGUCUUUGGUAUGAGCUUAUAAUUUAACUACAACUAAUUAGUAGAAGUUCACAGUUCUUAGUGACUGCUCAGUAUUCAUUAUUUUGAAAUCUCGAAUUGAUUAAGCGUUGAAUCUUAUUGAUAUCUUUAUGUUCUUAUUGACUAUUGUUGAGAACCAUCGAUACUUCUUGUUAUCCUUGAACUAUCAUUUAUUAUUGUACCCUUGAGAAUUUAAAAUUAUAUUGAACACCCUUAUUGUUAUAUUAUUUGCUGAGCAAACUUGUUGCUCAUUCUUACUUCCCUAAAAACAUUUCAGUUAAGGCAGAGCAAGGCGGACCCUCGGGCACUGAUAAGAGCAAGGGCAAAGCUACGGAGUAGCUUCUUAUUUAUUUAGGAAUAUUAUGAUAAUGUAAAGACAUAAAUUGUGUUAUGUAUUAGUUAUGUCAAAGCUAUGUUUAUGUAUGUUUAAGGUAUAUAAGAGAUGUUUAAGUUACGAAACCUUGGGACGUGA